This 570-nucleotide long non-coding RNA is filed under the name Erythranthe guttata (spotted monkey flower). Its description in RNAcentral is "long non-coding RNA (EGUT_LNC002520)". Lineage: Eukaryota; Viridiplantae; Streptophyta; Magnoliopsida; Lamiales; Phrymaceae. The record is from RNAcentral.
UUACCCCCUUAAAGUAUCAUUUGUAACACUUACCCCCCUCAAGCACAAUUUAAUUUGUAUUUUAAAUUUUAACACCUUAAAAAAAUAUUUUAUUGAAAGGAAUAACUAAAAGAAUAAUUAAAUUAUACAACUAAAAAUAUCUGUUGAAAAAUACAAUAUUUCAAAAUUUAAAAAUAUUAUCUUGCGUUGGAUACUUAUUCAAUAAAUAACAUUUAAUUGUUGUUGGACCAAUUAAUCAAAAAUAAUCUAUCAAUAAAUUUUAAGAAAUCAAUGCAUAACUAAUAGAAAUCUUAAGUAUUUAAAUUUAUUUUAGUUCAUUAAUUUUUUUAAAUAUGUUUUCAUUCAUUAUUACCCAAUAUAUAUUACUUUUUAAUUUUUUUUCAAUAAUUAAUUUUAGUUACUUUUCAAUUUUCUAUGAACCGUUAAUUAUUAGAUUGUUAUGUUUAUUAUUUUUUAAAUUUUAAAAUAUAAAAUAAUUGAUGUGGAGGGGGUAAGUGUUACAAAUGAUACUUUAAGGGGGUAAGUGUUACAUGAGCUAUACUUCAGGGGUGCAAAGUGUAUUUAGCCCUA